AGGUGAAAGUCGAAAACAACAAAGUUUAUGUGUCUGUAAAGAAAAGGAUCCAGGGUCAGCCUAAACGUAUCAAAUGGAUGGGAGCCAGAGAUCAAGCGGUGUUACAUACUGUCAUGCUCCUUGGAGGAGGCGCAGCCUCUUUAAUGUGUGCUGAGACACUACGGCAAGAAAACUACGGUGGCAGGAUUAUUAUGGUAUCUAGAGAUGACCUCCUUCCAUACGACAAAACCAGACUCAGCAAGGUGA
Long non-coding RNA from Sinocyclocheilus rhinocerous, 246 nucleotides. RefSeq lists it as uncharacterized. Lineage: Eukaryota; Metazoa; Chordata; Actinopteri; Cypriniformes; Cyprinidae. The record is from RefSeq and is a predicted model, not a curated record. The transcript is spliced from 3 exons.